GCAUCAUUUGGUUUAAACCACGAAAGCAAACUUUGAUUCUUAAUACUCUAAUAAAAGUGUUUUGAUUUAUAAUACUCGGUAUGAAAAACGAAUACAACUUAUUCAUUUAAUAGUUUCUGUUUGCCUGUAAUACUUAUUCUACCUCUUUUCCGUGCACCCCAAGUUGGUAUCCAUGAAGACCUUUUCAACAGGUCAACACCUGACAC
RNAcentral lists this long non-coding RNA (206 nucleotides) under Mytilus galloprovincialis (Mediterranean mussel). The record is from RNAcentral. Lineage: Eukaryota; Metazoa; Mollusca; Bivalvia; Mytilida; Mytilidae.